GACGAACGCUGGCGGCGUGCUUAACACAUGCAAGUCGAACGGAAAGGCCCUGCUUUUGUGGGGUGCUCGAGUGGCGAACGGGUGAGUAACACGUGAGUAACCUGCCCUUGACUUUGGGAUAACUUCAGGAAACUGGGGCUAAUACCGGAUAGGAGCUCCUGCUGCAUGGUGGGGGUUGGACAGUUUCGGCGGUUGGGGAUGGACUCGCGGCUUAUCAGCUUGUUGGUGGGGUAGUGGCUUACCAAGGCUUUGACGGGUAGCCGGCCUGAGAGGGUGACCGGCCACAUUGGGACUGAGAUACGGACCAGACUCCUACGGGGGGCAGCAGUGGGGAAUAUUGCACAAUGGGCGGAAGCCUGAGGCAGAAACGUCGCGUGCGGGAUGACGGCCUUCGGGUUGUAAACCGCUUUAGCCUGUGACGAAGCGUGAGUGACGGUAAUGGGUAAAGAAGCACCGGCUAACUACGUG
This 468-nucleotide ribosomal RNA is filed under the name uncultured bacterium. RNAcentral describes it as "partial 16S ribosomal RNA". It matches the Rfam family "Bacterial small subunit ribosomal RNA", at positions 28 to 507 of the family's 1533-position model. The record is from RNAcentral.